GAUGAACGCUGGCGGCGUGCCUAAUACAUGCAAGUCGAGCGAACAGACGAGGAGCUUGCUCCUCUGACGUUAGCGGCGGACGGGUGAGUAACACGUGGCUAACCUACCUAUAAAACUGGGAUAACUUCGGGAAACCGGAGCUAAUACCGGAUAAUAUAUUGAACCGCAUGGUUCAAUAGUGAAAGACGGUUUUGCUGUCACUUAUAGAUGGAUCCGCGCCGCAUUAGCUAGUUGGUAAGGUAACGGCUUACCAAGGCGACGAUGCGUAGCCGACCUGAGAGGGUGAUCGGCCACACUGGAACUGAGACACGGUCCAGACUCCUACGGGAGGCAGCAGUAGGGAAUCUUCCGCAAUGGGCGAAAGCCUGACGGAGCAACGCCGCGUGAGUGAUGAAGGUCUUCGGAUCGUAAAACUCUGUUAUUAGGGAAGAACAAAUGUGUAAGUAACUAUGCACGUCUUGACGGUACCUAAUCAGAAAGCCACGGCUAACUACGUG
This 497-nucleotide ribosomal RNA is filed under the name uncultured bacterium. Its description in RNAcentral is "partial 16S ribosomal RNA". It matches the Rfam family "Bacterial small subunit ribosomal RNA", at positions 28 to 507 of the family's 1533-position model. The record is from RNAcentral.